ACGUCUACAUUAGAUACCCGGGUAGUCCCAGCCGUAAACUAUGCGCGUUAGGUGUAUCGGUGACCACGAGUCGCCGAGGUGCCGAAGGGAAACCGUGAAACGUGCCGCCUGGGAAGUACGGUCGCAAGGCUGAAACUUAAAGGAAUUGGCGGGGAGCACCACAACGGGUGGAGCCUGCGGUUUAAUUGGACUCAACGCCGGGAAGCUCACCGGAUAAGACAGCGGAAUGAUUGCCGGGCUGAAGACUCUGCAUGACUAGCUG
RNAcentral lists this ribosomal RNA (262 nucleotides) under uncultured archaeon. Its description in RNAcentral is "partial 16S ribosomal RNA". It matches the Rfam family "Archaeal small subunit ribosomal RNA", at positions 719 to 982 of the family's 1478-position model. The record is from RNAcentral.